Molecule: ribosomal RNA, 446 nt
Filed under: Fusobacterium periodonticum
Lineage: Bacteria; Fusobacteriati; Fusobacteriota; Fusobacteriia; Fusobacteriales; Fusobacteriaceae
Description: bacterial SSU rRNA
Rfam family: Bacterial small subunit ribosomal RNA
Source: RNAcentral
GAUGAACGCUGACAGAAUGCUUAACACAUGCAAGUCUACUUGAACUUCGGUUUGGGUGGCGGACGGGUGAGUAACGCGUAAAGAACUUGCCUCACAGUUAGGGACAACAUUUGGAAACGAAUGCUAAUACCUGAUAUUAUGAUUUUAGGGCAUCCUAAGAUUAUGAAAGCUAUAUGCGCUGUGAGAGAGCUUUGCGUCCCAUUAGCUAGUUGGAGAGGUAACGGCUCACCAAGGCGAUGAUGGGUAGCCGGCCUGAGAGGGUGAACGGCCACAAGGGGACUGAGACACGGCCCUUACUCCUACGGGAGGCAGCAGUGGGGAAUAUUGGACAAUGGACCAAAAGUCUGAUCCAGCAAUUCUGUGUGCACGAUGACGUUUUUCGGAAUGUAAAGUGCUUCCAGUUGGGAAGAAAAAAAUGACGGUACCAACAGAAGAAGUGACGGUAA